Molecule: non-coding RNA, 37 nt
Filed under: unclassified sequences
Description: DUF805b RNA
Rfam family: DUF805b RNA
About the family: Bacteroidetes, Chlorobi (1 example), Proteobacteria. Lineage (Flavobacteria)
Source: RNAcentral
ACAGGGUGUUCCGAAAACCUGUAGAAAAGAGUAGGAG